CCUACGGGCGGCAGCAGUGGGGGAUAUUGCACAAUGGGGGAAACCCUGAUGCAGCGACGCCGCGUGGGUGAAGAAGCGCCUCGGCGCGUAAAGCCCUGUCAGCAGGGAAGAAAAUGACGGUACCUGAAGAAGAAGCCCCGGCUAACUCCGUGCCAGCAGCCGCGGUAAUACGUAGGGGGCAAGCGUUAUCCGGAUUUACUGGGGGUAAAGGGGGCGCAGACGGCGAUGCAAGCCAGGAGUGAAAGCCCGGGGCCCAACCCCGGGACUGCUCUUGGAACUGCGUGGCUAGAGUGCAGGAGGGGCAGGCGGAAUUCCUGGUGUAGCGGUGAAAUGCGUAGAUAUCAGGAGGAACGCCGGUGGCGAAGGCGGCCUGCUGGACUGCAACUGACGUUGAGGCCCGAAAGCGUGGGGAGCAAACAGGAUUAGAUACCCCAGUAGUC
This 440-nucleotide ribosomal RNA is filed under the name uncultured bacterium. Its description in RNAcentral is "partial 16S ribosomal RNA". It matches the Rfam family "Bacterial small subunit ribosomal RNA", at positions 338 to 795 of the family's 1533-position model. The record is from RNAcentral.